RNAcentral lists this ribosomal RNA (502 nucleotides) under uncultured Glomeromycotina. RNAcentral describes it as "partial small subunit ribosomal RNA". It matches the Rfam family "Eukaryotic small subunit ribosomal RNA", at positions 591 to 1092 of the family's 1831-position model. Lineage: Eukaryota; Fungi; Glomeromycota. The record is from RNAcentral.
CCAAUAGCGUAUAUUAGUGUUGUUGCGGUUAAAAAGCUCGUAGUUGAAUUUCGGGAUUGGGAUAUAUCGGUCGUGCCUUUAGGGGCAUGAAUCGGUGUGUGGCCAAUUCUCACUUUUUGGUGAAUUGGGAUGCUCUCGGGUGUUUCAAUGAACUAGGACUUUUACUUUGAAAAAAUUAGAGUGUUUAAAGCGGGCAUUUUUGCUUGAAUACGUUAGCAUGGAAUAAUAAAAUAGGACGAUGGUUCUAUUUUGUUGGUUUUAGGACCACGUAAUGAUUAAUAGGGAUAGUUGGGGGCAUUAGUAUUCAAUUGUCAGAGGUGAAAUUCUUGGAUUUAUUGAGGACUAACUAUUGCGAAAGCAUUUGCCAAGGAUGUUUUCAUUAAUCAAGAACGAAAGUUAGGGGAUCAAAGACGAUUUAUGUACGUCGUGGUCUUAACCAUAAACUAUGCCGACUAGGAAUCAGACAAAGUUAAUUUUUUAACGACUUGUUUGGUACCUUACG